This 379-nucleotide unclassified non-coding RNA is filed under the name soil metagenome. RNAcentral describes it as "partial contains 5.8S ribosomal RNA, internal transcribed spacer 2, and large subunit ribosomal RNA". The stretch from base 1 to 120 matches the Rfam family "5.8S ribosomal RNA", at positions 35 to 154 of the family's 154-position model. The record is from RNAcentral.
GAUGAAGAACGUAGCGAAAUGCGAUAAUUAAUGUGAAUUGCAGAAUUUAGUGAAUCAUCGAGUCUUUGAACGCACAUUGCGCCUCAUGGUAUUCCGUGAGGCAUGCCUGUCUGAGCGUCAACAACACCACUCAAGCAUUGCUCUCUUGCUCUGCUUGGUCCAUGUCAGGGAAGCGGUUGGGCCUGUCCAACUGCCCCUUGAAAAGCAAUAGAUGGUCAGGUUGUCACCUUAAGCCAAACGUCAUAUGAUUCUUAUCGUUCGUUUGUCUAUCUGACUUCUUGACAGUUGUUGAACCCAACAGCACCAUGCUGUUUAUUCUGACUUGACCUCAGAUCAGGUAGGGAUACCCGCUGAACUUAAGCAUAUCAAUAGCGGAGGA